RNAcentral lists this unclassified non-coding RNA (609 nucleotides) under Hevea brasiliensis (rubber tree). Lineage: Eukaryota; Viridiplantae; Streptophyta; Magnoliopsida; Malpighiales; Euphorbiaceae. The record is from RNAcentral.
CUCACCAAAGAAGGUUAAUCUGGACAACAAAACCUGCGUUCCUGCUAGCUUAUUGUCCCAGCUAAACCAGGUUGGACUUCCCCAGUUUGCAAAGAUUUUUCCAUUUUGCCCAGUCACAUAUUGAAGAUAUGAUUGAUCCCCUGUAGCAUGGUAGAGCCAGCUAGCUGCCCACAGGAGCUCAUCUCCAUAUCCUGUUGAAUUGUAAUAAGUCUGAACUUGGGGGAUGCUCUUACUAUAGGAACCUCUAUGUUUAUCAGCAAAACUAAAUAAUUGUUCUGCAUGCUCAAGGAGAGUGCUUGAAUAUGUGGGGUCACUUUUCUUAAACACCAGCGAUGCUGAAGCCAUAGCUGCUGCAGUUUCAGCUGCAACAUCUGUUCCUGGAGAAGAUAUGUUCACCUGAGUGAGGGGCCUCUUCUCAGUCNGAGGCCUCUUCUCAGUCAUGUCCUCAGGCCUGUCCCAACAACCAUGGUCUGUCUUAGGAUCACCAACCUGAAUAUAGAGCACAUUGUCCGCAGCAUGAGCAUUGAUAAGGUAGUCAGUGAUCCACUUGAGCGAAUCUUGAGCGGGUUCCAACUGAUUAACAGCAUCCAUUUGAUCCCCAUACUCAAG